Molecule: ribosomal RNA, 198 nt
Filed under: uncultured bacterium
Lineage: Bacteria
Description: partial 16S ribosomal RNA
Rfam family: Bacterial small subunit ribosomal RNA
Source: RNAcentral
ACGCUCGACACCUACGGGAGGUAGCAGUGGGGAAUAUUGCACAAUGGGGGAAACCCUGAUGCAGCGACGCCGCGUGGAGGAAGAAGGUCUUCGGAUUGUAAACUCCUGUUGUUGGGGAAAAAGAGGAUGGUACCCAACAAGGAAGUGACGGCUAACUACGUGCCUGCAGCCGCGGUAAUCUGAGCGGGCUGGCAAGGC